Molecule: ribosomal RNA, 423 nt
Filed under: uncultured bacterium
Lineage: Bacteria
Description: partial 16S ribosomal RNA
Rfam family: Bacterial small subunit ribosomal RNA
Source: RNAcentral
AAUUUUGGACAAUGGGGGCAACCCUGAUCCAGCCAUCCCGCGUGUGCGAUGAAGGCCUUCGGGUUGUAAAGCACUCUUGGCAGGGAAGAAAAGGCGCCGGAUAAUACCUGGCGCCGCUGACGGUACCUGCAGAAUAAGCACCGGCUACCUUCGUUCCAGCAGCCGCGGUAAUACGUAGGGUGCAAGCGUUAAUCGGAAUUACUGGGCGUAAAGCGUGCGCAGGCGGUUCGGAAAGAAAGAUGUGAAAUCCCAGGGCUUAACCUUGGAAAUGCAUUUUUAACUGCCGGGCUAGAGUAUGUCAGAGGGGGGUAGAAUUCCACGUGUAGCAGUGAAAUGCGUAGAGAUGUGGAGGAAUACCGAUGGCGAAGGCAGCCCCCUGGGAUAAUACUGACGCUCAUGAACGAAAGCGUGGGGAGCAAACAG